This 116-nucleotide ribosomal RNA is filed under the name Nitrospira sp. RNAcentral also lists the same sequence under 2 other names. The record is from RNAcentral. Lineage: Bacteria; Pseudomonadati; Nitrospirota; Nitrospiria; Nitrospirales; Nitrospiraceae.
CCUGGCGGCCAUAGCGGCGUGGUACCACCCGAUCCCUUCCCGAACUCGGUAGUGAAACGCGCCUGCGCCGAUGAUAGUGUGGGGCCUCCCCAUGUGAAAGUAGGUCACCGCCAGGC